Molecule: transfer RNA, 67 nt
Filed under: Ictidomys tridecemlineatus (thirteen-lined ground squirrel)
Lineage: Eukaryota; Metazoa; Chordata; Mammalia; Rodentia; Sciuridae
Description: Spermophilus tridecemlineatus (thirteen-lined ground squirrel) tRNA
Rfam family: tRNA
About the family: Transfer RNA (tRNA) molecules are approximately 80 nucleotides in length. Their secondary structure includes four short double-helical elements and three loops (D, anti-codon, and T loops).
Source: Rfam by way of RNAcentral
GGUUGCAGCUCAGUGGUAGAGCGCUUGCCUAGCAUGCCAGAAGCCCUGGGUUUGAUCCCCUGCACCA